This 80-nucleotide transfer RNA is filed under the name Loxodonta africana (African savanna elephant). It matches the Rfam family "tRNA". Rfam says of the family: Transfer RNA (tRNA) molecules are approximately 80 nucleotides in length. Their secondary structure includes four short double-helical elements and three loops (D, anti-codon, and T loops). Further hydrogen bonds mediate the characteristic L-shaped molecular structure. tRNAs have two regions of fundamental functional importance: the anti-codon, which is responsible for specific mRNA codon recognition, and the 3' end, to which the tRNAs corresponding amino acid is attached (by aminoacyl-tRNA synthetases). tRNAs cope with the degeneracy of the genetic code in two manners: having more than one tRNA (with a specific anti-codon) for a particular amino acid; and 'wobble' base-pairing, i.e. permitting non-standard base-pairing at the 3rd anti-codon position. Lineage: Eukaryota; Metazoa; Chordata; Mammalia; Proboscidea; Elephantidae. The record is from Rfam by way of RNAcentral.
GCAGUGGUGAUUCAGUGGUAGAAUACCCACCUUCUCUAUUUUCUAUGCAGGAGACCCGAGUUUGAUUCCCAGCCAAUGCA